This 467-nucleotide ribosomal RNA is filed under the name uncultured bacterium. RNAcentral describes it as "partial 16S ribosomal RNA". It matches the Rfam family "Bacterial small subunit ribosomal RNA", at positions 28 to 507 of the family's 1533-position model. The record is from RNAcentral.
GAUGAACGCUGGCGGCGCGCCUAACACAUGCAAGUCGAACGAUUAAAGCACCUUCGGGUGUGUAUAAAGUGGCGAACGGCUGAGUAACACGUGGGCAACCUGCCCCUUUCAUUGGGAUAGCCACGGGAAACCGUGGAUAAUACCGAAUACUUCGAGACUUCCGCAUGGAAGACUCGAGAAAGCUCCGGCGGAGAGGGAUGGGCCCGCGGCCUGUUAGCUUGUUGGUGGGGUAACGGCCUACCAAGGCAGUGAUGGGUAGCUGGGUUGAGAGACCGACCAGCCAGAUUGGGACUGAGACACGGCCCAGACUCCUACGGGAGGCAGCAGUGGGGAAUCUUGCACAAUGGGCGAAAGCCUGAUGCAGCGACGCCGCGUGCGGGAUGAAGGCCUUCGGGUUGUAAACCGCUUUCAGCAGGGACGAGGCGAAAGUGACGGUACCUGCAGAAGAAGCCCCGGCUAACUACGUG